Molecule: long non-coding RNA, 337 nt
Organism: Nothoprocta perdicaria
Lineage: Eukaryota; Metazoa; Chordata; Aves; Tinamiformes; Tinamidae
Exons: 2
Source: RefSeq, a predicted model, not a curated record
CGCUUUCGCUCCUUGCCCUGCUGCUCUUCUUGCCUCUGCACAUGACUGCAUGCUAUAGGCUACAGGUCAAGCCAGCUCCUUCUCCAUCAAAAGUUGAGUCUUCCUAUGAUCCUAGAUAUCCUAGGAAACCUAGAUGUAGUAUCCCUCAAAUCGUUUGAUGCAGUGUGUGUGGUAAGAAGAGCUGGGAAGAUGAAGGGUGUUUGUGGGCCCUUGCAGGCCCACUACCAACCUGGGAGCCGCUUACAAAGACUCUGCUCCAGGAACUCCUACUUGAGGUUCCUUUACCUCGCUUGUCUCUUCCCUUAAUGCAUGAAAUGGAACUGAUCCCUGCAGAUCC